CAUGCAGUCGAGCGGUAGCACAGAGAGCUUGCUCUCGGGUGACGAGCGGCGGACGGGUGAGUAAUGUCUGGGAAACUGCCUGAUGGAGGGGGAUAACUACUGGAAACGGUAGCUAAUACCGCAUAACGUCGCAAGACCAAAGUGGGGGACCUUCGGGCCUCAUGCCAUCAGAUGUGCCCAGAUGGGAUUAGCUGGUAGGUGGGGUAACGGCUCACCUAGGCGACGAUCCCUAGCUGGUCUGAGAGGAUGACCAGCCACACUGGAACUGAGACACGGUCCAGACUCCUACGGGAGGCAGCAGUGGGGAAUAUUGCACAAUGGGCGCAAGCCUGAUGCAGCCAUGCCGCGUGUGUGAAGAAGGCCUUCGGGUUGUAAAGCACUUUCAGCGGGGAGGAAGGCGGUGAGGUUAAUAACCUCAUCGAUUGACGUUACCCGCAGAAGAAGCACCGGCUAACUCCGUGCCAGCAGCCGCGGUAAUACGGAGGGUGCAAGCGUUAAUCGGAAUUACUGGGCGUAAAGCGCACGCAGGCGGUCUGUCAAGUCGGAUGUGAAAUCCCCGGGCUCAACCUGGGAACUGCAUUCGAAACUGGCAGGCUAGAGUCUUGUAGAGGGGGGUAGAAUUCCAGUGUAGCGGUGAAAUGCGUAGAGAUCUGGAGGAAUACCGGUGGCGAAGCGGUCCCCUGGACAAAGACUGACGCUCAAGUGCGAAAGCGUGGGGAGCAAACAGGAUUAGAUACCCUGGUAGUCCACGCUGUAAACGAUGUCGAUUUGGAGGUUGUGCCCUUGAGGCGUGGCUUCCGGAGCUAACGCGUUAAAUCGACCGCCUGGGGAGUACGGCCGCAAGGUUAAAACUCAAAUGAAUUGACGGGGGCCCGCACAAGCGGUGGAGCAUGUGGUUUAAUUCGAUGCAACGCGAAGAACCUUACCUGGUCUUGACAUCCACAGAACUUAGCAGAGAUGGUUUGGUGCCUUCGGGAACUGUGAGACAGGUGCUGCAUGGCUGUCGUCAGCUCGUGUUGUGAAAUGUUGGGUUAAGUCCCGCAACGAGCGCAACCCUUAUCCUUUGUUGCCAGCGGUUAGGCCGGGAACUCAAAGGAGACUGCCAGUGAUAAACUGGAGGAAGGUGGGGAUGACGUCAAGUCAUCAUGGCCCUUACGACCAGGGCUACACACGUGCUACAAUGGCAUAUACAAAGAGAAGCGACCUCGCGAGAGCAAGCGGACCUCAUAAAGUAUGUCGUAGUCCGGAUUGGAGUCUGCAACUCGACUCCAUGAAGUCGGAAUCGCUAGUAAUCGUAGAUCAGAAUGCUACGGUGAAUACGUUCCCGGGCCUUGUACACACCGCCCGUCACACCAUGGGAGUGGGUUGCAAAAGAAGUAGGUAGCUUAACCUUCGGGAGGGCGCUAC
RNAcentral lists this ribosomal RNA (1407 nucleotides) under Klebsiella variicola. Its description in RNAcentral is "bacterial SSU rRNA". It matches the Rfam family "Bacterial small subunit ribosomal RNA". The record is from RNAcentral. Lineage: Bacteria; Pseudomonadati; Pseudomonadota; Gammaproteobacteria; Enterobacterales; Enterobacteriaceae.